GACGAACGCUGGCGGCGUGCUUAACACAUGCAAGUCGAACGGAAAGGCCCUGCUUUUGUGGGGUGCUCGAGUGGCGGACGGGUGAGUAACACGUGAGUAACCUGCCCUGUACUUUGGGAUAACUUCAGGAAACUGGGGCUAAUCCCGGAUAGAAGCUCCUGCUGCAUGGUGGGGGUGGGAGAGUUUCGGCGGGUGGGGAUGGACGCGCGGCUUAUCAGCUUGCUGGUUGGGUAGUGGCAUACCAAGGAUUUGACGGGUAGACGGCCUGAGAGGGUGACCGGCAACAUUGGGACUAAGAUACGGACCAGACGCCUACGGGAGGCAGCAGUGGGGAAGAUUGCACAAUGGGCGGAAGCCUGAUGCAGAAACGCCGCGUGCGUGAUGCCGGCCUUCGGGGUGUAAACCGCUUUCGCCUGUGACGACGCGUGAGUGACGGUAAUGGGUAAAGAAGCACCGGCUAACUACGUG
RNAcentral lists this ribosomal RNA (468 nucleotides) under uncultured bacterium. Its description in RNAcentral is "partial 16S ribosomal RNA". It matches the Rfam family "Bacterial small subunit ribosomal RNA", at positions 28 to 507 of the family's 1533-position model. The record is from RNAcentral.